GGAUUAGAUACCCGGGUAGUCCAUGCCGUAAACGAUGUCGACUAGGUGUUGGGGAACUUGAUUCCUUAGUGCCGCAGCUAACGCAUUAAGUCGACCGCCUGGGGAGUACGGCCGCAAGGUUAAAACUCAAAUGAAUUGACGGGGGCCCGCACAAGCGGUGGAGCAUGUGGUUUAAUUCGAUGCAACGCGAAGAACCUUACCUACUCUUGACAUCCAGAGAAUCCUGUAGAGAUACGGGAGUGCCUUCGGGAAUUCUGAGACAGGUGCUGCAUGGCUGUCGUCAGCUCGUGUCGUGAGAUGUUGGGUUAAGUCCCGCAACGAGCGCAACCCUUGUCCUUAGUUGCCAGCGCGUAAUGGCGGGAACUCUAGGGAGACUGCCGGUGACAAACCGG
This 392-nucleotide ribosomal RNA is filed under the name uncultured bacterium. RNAcentral describes it as "bacterial SSU rRNA". It matches the Rfam family "Bacterial small subunit ribosomal RNA", at positions 775 to 1166 of the family's 1533-position model. The record is from RNAcentral.